RNAcentral lists this non-coding RNA (23 nucleotides) under Arabidopsis thaliana (thale cress). Lineage: Eukaryota; Viridiplantae; Streptophyta; Magnoliopsida; Brassicales; Brassicaceae. The record is from RNAcentral.
GGACCAUGAGCUUCGGCGUCCCA